CGCCUUUAUACCCGCACAGGUAACCGGGAACUGGCCGCCGAGCGCGGCCAUUGGACAGGCGCCUCUCGGCCCCGCACUCUCCCAGCUCCCAUUGGACAUCGCACCUGCCUGUCAACUCGCCUCGGCCUGUUCGACUCCACCCUCCAGAGCAGCCCGCCCAGAGAGAGCUGAGUGAGUGGGGAAGCAGGCAUGGGACUGCGAGCGAGAGCGACACGGGGAAAGCAGGCGUGUGUGUGGUGUGAGGGGCAUAAGGGGAACGAGCGGAGAGCGGAUAUGCUUUAAUGGUUCAACACGGGAAUGUACCACAUUGAGGCAAGAGAGACCAUGGAGGACGGAGAGAUCAAGGAUGACCUUUUUAAAUAAUGGUUAUGGUCUAAAUGUUGGACUCUGACGUUCAACAGAAAGAACUUAAGCAGUUGGUUGAUGCACCUAUCUAAUACUGUAUAACCUUGGCUCCAAGUGCUUGGUACUACCCAGGACUCUUUUCAGGGAUAUCUUCCCUUUGCCAAGAUAAUUCACAAACUUUGAUCUUACUAAAACCAUCUCUACUUCAUGAGCCUCAGAUAGCAUUGGUGUGCAAAGGUCUGGACUCGCGGUACCUAAAAGGCCACUUGAAGCUCAAGAAUGAAGACUGUGGUCAACAACUCAGCUCCUCAGACACAAGACAGCUAGCUACUGCAAAGGUUGAGCUUGUUUGUGCAGGAAACAGAGGUCCCCGGGGCCAUCCAAGACUGAAAAGCUCUUGCAGGAUUUAAGAAACACCUCAGUCAUCACUGCUCCCAUUCGAAGGGCAAGGCACACUCCUUUGACCUUGCCUUAAUAAACACACACAACAUCCAUAAAGUAAAAAACAAAAAGCAAAACUCAGUUUUCCCUUUGGAGAGGAAGAUGGUAGAAGAGGAGACUCACAUGACAAGGGCUAGUCAUUUUGCUUAAUGCACUUCUAGAAGAUGCUCUGAUGCUACAUUGAUGAGGACAGUAUAAGAAAAUGAAUAGCAUAAAAUUCCAAGUUCAGGUAAAGUGAGGCACGAAGAGGUUAAAUUACUUGUUUAAAGUCCUCUUCAAUGGACGUUUCAGAGGCAGGAAGAGAACCCUGGAGUCCUGCUUCAGAUGAAUUACAGACUUAGGCCCCAGUUCUGCAACAGACUCUGCAUAAGUGCGGGGAUACGUUUGAGUGGAACCAAUUGCAGGAUUAGGGCUUU
Mauremys reevesii (Reeves's turtle) is the source of this 1202-nucleotide long non-coding RNA. RefSeq lists it as uncharacterized. The record is from RefSeq and is a predicted model, not a curated record. The transcript has 4 exons. NCBI's taxonomy places the organism in Eukaryota, Metazoa, Chordata, Testudines, Geoemydidae.